Mytilus californianus (California mussel) is the source of this 743-nucleotide long non-coding RNA. RefSeq lists it as uncharacterized. The transcript has 3 exons. Lineage: Eukaryota; Metazoa; Mollusca; Bivalvia; Mytilida; Mytilidae. The record is from RefSeq and is a predicted model, not a curated record.
CAUGGGAAUUUCUACUCCAUUUUGGAUAACAGUUCAUAUACCUGAAAAUUCAUUGUCCUUUACAGAGAAUUUUCAAGCUGAUUUUUACGUUCCCUCGAAAAAUUUUAAAGCAUUUUUAAUCAAAAUGAUUGAAAAUGAUCAGUACUUUGGACUUUGGCAGUGGUGUAUCGGAGGGAACGGUUGUAUUGAUUUAGGUUGGAUAUCCAUGUUUAUAUCCAACACGGAUUGGCAUGCAUGGCCAGAUGAACUUAAUACACUCAUAGAUUUCUGGAUAGCAACACGAGUUUUUGCAACGCUUGGAUUUAUAACUGCUGUCAUUGUAACUGCAGUAUUUCUAUGGUUUCUUUGCAGACGAACAGGCACUGGAUGUUGCUAUCACGGUUUUAUCGUGAUUGGAUGUUUCGUUACAGGGGGCUUACUAGCCGUUUCUGUGGCAGUUUUCCUUACAGCAGUCAAUAAUCUAGCCAGUAAUCAAAACAUCAAUAUAAGUUUUUCUUUCGGGAUGACCUGCAUUGCGGCCAUUUUAUAUAGUUUCAAUGGAUUUACAAUCGUAGUUGCUUUAUGUACUGGGACUGGCACCAUCGGAAGAAAAAAUACCAAAUAGCUUAAAGAAGAGGAGUGUGUUAACUACUGAGUUUACAAUUGUGAAGUGAUGCUUCUUGCUUAUACAAUUAUAUUGUGACUUUUUCCAAGAAUAUGUAUGUUCCUUCAAAAUUAAAUACGUGUAACAUCUAGUUUUAUAA